RNAcentral lists this long non-coding RNA (1312 nucleotides) under Phascolarctos cinereus (koala). RNAcentral's name for it is "lncRNA (ENSPCIG00000036759.1)". The record is from RNAcentral. Lineage: Eukaryota; Metazoa; Chordata; Mammalia; Diprotodontia; Phascolarctidae.
CUCAUGUGGACCUCUAGGCCAAAGGUUUCUCACCCCUGCUCCAGGCCAACCUUGGAGUUGCUGGAUUAUCCAUAAGGAGGAAAGUCAGAGAGCAGAGGAGAAUGGAAAGUUGGGAGAGAAUGAGAAGAAGCUUUUCAGAGAGCAUCCAGUGUAAGAAAGAGGGUUGGCCUCUUCAAUUAGAGCUCCAGGCAUUUGGCCUUGGCCUGACCAGAGGUUUCAGUGUUCCCGGUCCAUGCUUGUCUUUCCUUGGCUGCCAUCAAACACUCCUCUGCCCUAAUUCAACAGCAUCCAGAAGAGGCUGUGAGAGGCACGAACAUUGAGUGACUAAGAGAGGUGACAUCAUGCCAGAGGGGAAGGAGCCCCUGGACUUGGUGUCAGAAGCGCUGGGCUCUAGUUCCGGCCAUGCCACUAACUAGCUGUGUGACCUUGGCAAGAAUAAGCUGUCCUUCCAAAUCAGGCUCCUGUUGUAGAAUUAUAGGGUCAGAAAGGAACCUUAGAAGUCCAACCUCCUCAUUUUGUAGGAUAAGGAAACCAAGCCAUAGAGAGGUCCCACAACUAGUAUAUGUCUGAGGCAGGAUUUGAAUUCUGGUCUCCCUGACUCCAAGUCAGGAGCUCCAAGCACCAUGCUACCUAACUGCCUUUAAUGAUGUUGGGGUGAGCUGAGAAGGCCAUUCCACAUUCUGGGUGAAAAAUCUCACCACCAGAGACCCAGGACAGCAAACCACUAGAGAAGAGAAAAAAGACACACGGGGUAGGAUUCUUCCUGAGUAUCUUACUCUAUCCUCAUCUGAAAGCAGGUUUAGUCUUUGAAGCCAGGGCCUUACUGGAGUCCAGAGAGCUAUGGGGCACUGGGGAGCCUGGCAGGUAGAACUAGUAUAUGGGAUUUGAUGGGAAAAAGGCAUUGUUGGUACGAUGGGAGUACUGAUCAAUGAGAGGGAAAUGCCAGUGAGAGUCUAAUGGACAGGGACAGGAACUGAGUAUACUUUGUCUGUCUCUCUGUGUCUCUCUGUCUCUGUCUCUGUCUCUGUCUCUCUCUCUCUCUCUCUCUCUCUCACACACACACACACACACACACACACACACCCUUUGCCAGUUCCUUCCUAGGUUGAGGACUCUCUCCCAAGGCAGUGGCGCUUCUUGUCAGGGGAGAAAGAGGCAGAACUUAAAGGACCCUCGAUCCAGAGCUGGGAAGGACCUCAGAGGCAUCUAGUCCAACCUCAUUUACAGACAAGGAAACAGAGAGCAAGGGAGGGUAAGUGAUUUGCCCAAGGUCAUAUGGGCAGUAAACAUCAGGGGUAGGAUUUGAACCCAG